RNAcentral lists this ribosomal RNA (1282 nucleotides) under Balamuthia mandrillaris. Its description in RNAcentral is "SSU rRNA". It matches the Rfam family "Eukaryotic small subunit ribosomal RNA", at positions 674 to 1823 of the family's 1831-position model. The record is from RNAcentral. Lineage: Eukaryota; Discosea; Longamoebia; Balamuthiidae.
GCACCGUCCUUCCCGCUCCUCUUUGUCGGGUUCUCAUCCCUGCUAUUCACUUAGUGGGGAACCAAAGGUCUGCUCCCGCCCUCGGUGGGGGGUAGAGCUGGAGGCCCGGACCAUUUACUUUGAAAAAAUUAGAGUGUUCAAAGCAGACAAGUUAAAACUGUCAUUGAAAUAUAUUAGCAUGGGAUAAUGGAAUAAGCCUCUCCUGCUUAUUUUGUUGGUUUCUAAGUAGGGAGAAAUGAUUGAUAGGGACAGUUGGGGGCAUUAAUAUUUAAUUGUCAGAGGUGAAAUUCUUGGAUUUAUGAAAGAUUAACUUCUGCGAAAGCAUUUGUCAAGGAUGUUUUCAUUAAUCAAGAACGAAAGUUAGGGAUCGAAGAUGAUUAGAUACCGUCGUAGUCUUAACCAUAAACGAUGCCGACCAGCGAUUGGGAGACGUUACACAUGCUGCUCAAAAGGUAGCAUGGAUGACUCCCCCAGCAGCUUGUGAGAAAUCAUAAGUCUUUGGGUUCCGGGGGGAGUAUGGUCGCAAGGCUGAAACUUAAAGGAAUUGACGGAAGGGCACCACCAGGAGUGGAGCCUGCGGCUUAAUUUGACUCAACACGGGGAACUUACCAGGUCCGGACAUAGUAAGGAUUGACAGAUUGAGAGCUCUUUCUUGAUUCUAUGGGUGGUGGUGCAUGGCCGUUCUUAGUUGGUGGAGUGAUUUGUCUGGUUAAUUCCGUUAACGAACGAGACCUUAACCUGCUAAAUAGUCAAUCCUGCUAUUCAAAACCAGGGGUAAGCGCGGUGCGGUCGGCUCUCAGCCUUCGGGUUGGGGUCGGUUCGUGCCCCUUGCUUCUGGCGGUUGGAUUGGUAGAAGUACUUCUUAGAGGGACAAUCGGUGAUUAGCCGAGGGAAGUUUGAGGCAAUAACAGGUCUGUGAUGCCCUUAGAUGUUCUGGGCCGCACGCGCGCUACACUGAUUAAUUCAACGAGUGCCACACCUUGGCCGAAAGGUCUGGGUAAUCUUGUGAAAUUUAAUCGUGAUGGGGAUAGAUUAUUGUAAUUGUUAAUCUUCAACGAGGAAUUCCUAGUAAGCGCGAGUCAUCAGCUCGCGUUGAUUACGUCCCUGCCCUUUGUACACACCGCCGUCGCUCCUACCGAUUGAAUGGUCCGGUGAAAUCUUCGGAGUCUGACCUCUCCGCGAUCCGGGCAACUGGGUCGUGAGGUUGGGCAAAGUCGAUUAAAUCUUACCAUUUAGAGGAAGGAGAAGUCGUAACAAGGUUCCGUAGGUGAACCUGCGGAAG